AGAUGAGGAAACCAAGACAAACAGAGAUUGAGUGAUUGGUCAGGAUCAUACAACUAAGUGUCUGAGGUUGUAUUUGAACACAGGUUUUUCAGAGAUAUCUCAACUAGUAAUUAGAUUCAGCAUAAUUUUGUUAUGCAGCUGCUAAAUAAAAAUGAUUGUAAAAGGGCUUUGGUGAAUAUUCACUAUGAAACUUAUUUAUCUCUUAAUUAAUCAUUUAUGUGAAUUUGCAUUUAUGCCCAAAUACUGUGUAGUACAAGUAACAGCUGUUCUAUUAUAAAAUGUGUCAGAUUAACUGCUGCAGGUUAAAUUAGAUUAUAACACCACAUUCUCUACAAGUAUGCUUAGACUUCAUAGUUACUUGUUUGCAGAGCAUGAUCUACUAUUUAGAACUUUACAGAAAUCAGAAGGAACAUUAGUGGUGAGUAGUAGAUGGAAAAAUUUGAAGGACUCCUCUUGAAAGGCAGUUGGGGCAAGAGUAGGUACUGCUUGAAGUUAAUUACCCACGUAGUUGUGCUAUCCUUUUUCUUUUUCUCUAGCUUUCCGUGGAGGGAAAGAUCUUCACAGCUUAGCUUUCUCUCCUGGAGAAAUAGGAGAGGGUGGAGCAAUUGGUGCUACGUGAACAAUUUGUCUCCAACCUAACCACCUUUCCUUAGAAGCAAAGUGUUGGGGUAGAAAGCCUGCUGAACUUGGAAUUAGGAGAUGCGGGUUUCAGGACCACACCUGCCUCCUCACUGUUACUUGACACUGAGUCACUUCCCUCCUAACAACCUGUUUCCCUAGCUGUAGAAUCAGGAUAAUGCAAUACCAACCUCACAGUCCUGUUUUAAAUGUGAGGUAUUAUUCAUGCUCUUCAGAGGGAUGAUAUAUGUCACAGUCACUUUGCCUUCUACUUUUAUUGAAAUUCUGGAAGUUUGUUGGAAGCCUUAGAUUCUAGGUCCAUCUCAGAUCAAAUUCGGACCCUGUGCCAUCUUUGUGGAGAUAUACUCUAUACCUUGAGGAUGGUCUCCUGGGCCUGUGCUGAGGAUGACUAAAAGUCCCUAAAACUUUGAACUUUGAGAAGUCACUUUCUCUCCUUGUUCAAUUGAAUUUAGAAUCCUUUGAGAUUACUUCAUAUGAUCCUGUGGCUGACAGGGUGGGGUGUGGGACAGAACACAAUUCCAUUCGCCUCUCUGGACCUAAGUAUCCUUAUCUGUUAACCCAAGGGGCUGGACUAAGUGCUCUUAUUACUAAAACAGAAUAUAAGGAAGAAUAACUUCAUAUCAGAACUCAACCUGACUUUGUUUAAAACCGUCUGUCCUUUUCUUUGAAGAAGAGGAAGAGAGGAACCUGGUGCUUUCAGAGACAUUCACUUUUGGAUAGAUGUAAUUGUUAAGAAGUUUUUCUUUAUAAGAGCUGAGAACAGCAACUUUUACUUAUAGCUUCAUUCCUUCCUCUGAGACCAAAAACAAAUCUUCCUCUUCUACCUAACUUGAAAACAACUGUCAUUCCCCCAUCCCUGGGUCUUCUCUUCUCCAGACAUGAUCUUGAGACUCUCCAUCCAUGUCGACUUCUCUGCAUUCCGUCCGCUAAGGUCCCAUCCAGCUCUGACAUGGUAUUCAGGAAACUCAGUUCAUUGCUAAGGACAUCAUUUUGAGUGGUUAGAGUUUAAAGAUUGGUACUCAUCUGUAAGAUGGGAAUAAUAAUAGCACCUUCUUCAUAGGGUUGUUGAAGAUCAAGUUGGAUAGUGUAUGGAAAGUGCACUCUACAGAUGCUUGCUGUUACCUCUGAGUCUUUUGAGUCCUGGUAUUGGCAGAGGAAGCUGAAGAAAACUGCUAGAGAAGAGAGCUCAUGUGUCCUCCUCCUAGGUGCUUUUCAGCAGCAUGGUGGAGCUGGGUGACACCUUGAAGGCGGGCAUUCAGAGACCUGUGCACCUGUGUUUGACAAGAAGCUGCAAUGUAGUCCCUUCUGGCACUCCCUCAAUGUACAUUGUACCUAUGGCGAUAUCUUAGGCAUCUACGGGAAGUCCAGGAGCAGGUUGAGCCACGUGAGCCACUGUUCUCCAAUUACCAAAUUACUAAAUAUCAGGAAGGUUUGGGCCAGGUCCUCCAAUUCCAAGCCCAGAAUUCUAGCCGGUAUUCCUCUACAUUGCAGUUCUUAAGCUCAUAAGGAUAAUUUACAUUAACAAGAAUCCUGUGGAGUAUUUACUGGUCCAUUCCUGUAUUUGAGAAAGAGAGAGAGAGUUCAUGCUACAGAGAUAGGAGACUUGGUAUUGCAUUGAUGGAAAUUUUGGGUACGGAAAUGUUCUUUACCCUUAGAGAUUGGUGCCAGAGUGCUGAAGGCCCUGCUCAGGAUCCCAUCGGUAGUAUGUGUCAGGGAGGGACCUGAGUGUUGACUAUGGGCAAUUUACUUAUUGCUGAUGACGAGGGACACGUCAUAGCUUGUGCCGGCCUGUGCCAAACCAGAACACACUGGAGCAUGGUUUAGUUCCAGCUACAGAGUGACCUUUUUGACCCCUAGCAGCUGGGACUUCCUCUGCUUAAUAGCUGGGAGAGUAUGGGAGUAGCCAGCGUUCUUAACCUGGGGCCUGGGUACCCCCAGACACCUCCUGUUGAGAACAGUUUUAAUGAAGCUUCUGUUGUACAUUCUUGGUAUUUGGUGGUCACGUUUACGGCCACAUAACUCACUGUCUGUCUUUGGGACACCUCUCCUUGCCCCUUCCUGCUUAAGGUGCCGAGUCUGACCAGACAGCCUCAAAUAGGCAGUGAAUGUUUUACAGACACUUUUAUGGAUGCUUAGGGAAGCUAAGUCAUGGUCACACAGCCAGGCAGGACUGACUUGGGAGUCAAAUUCAAAUCUUCUGACUUAGAGGAUUAUAGAUGUGGAGCUGGAAGGGGAUCUUAGAGGCCAUUGAGCCCAGUCUCCUCGUUUUGCAUUUGACAAAAUGGUCUGAGAGUUGUUAAUUAUAGUUAGGCAAUCUCAGAGGCAGGAUUUGAUCUCAGGUCUUCCUCACUGUAAGCAUAGGACUUUUUACCCAUAUGGCUCAUGCAACAGUGCUCUGCUCACCAUGAAUGGAAAAGCAGAAAUGAGGAGUUCCACAGCACAUCACAGCUGCCCUGACAGUGAGGUGCCUGUCUGAAUGGGAGACUGAGGCUGGAAAAGAGGAGAGACAGCAGAAGGUGUUACCCACCUGCCUGGGGAGUUCCAUUCCUGUUAUUUAGUUGUCCUUGCAGCAGACUCGCCACAUCUGGAAAGCUGGGUUUUCUCAAUGACGCCUUGGACUUAAUCUUUGCCACUUGCAUGUUCUCUCAAGCCCUUGUUAAAGCCACCUCUCUCAGGAGCGUGGACCAGCAUACACAAAAAGCACAUUUCUUAGGAUGCCUUUCAAGUUGUGGGUGCAAGAGGGAAUAGAUUGGGGCCGUUGGGGUUGCUUCUGUCUCCUUUUGUAAGCCAGUCCCUUUUUGUGGAGCCCUUUUCCUCAUCUCUCCCUUUUUCUGCCCAUUUUCUACUUCUUUCCUACCUUUCCCCCCUCACUUCAUCCCUUAUUUUCUAUUGUGCACAAUAACAAUCACUUAUAUUUAUAGAGCACUUAAAUUACAACACACUUUUGUUAUUCUGUGUUAUGAUAUGUAGCAUUAUUUAAGUCUUUCCUAAAUGCUGUCUCUUAGAUUGUGAACUCCACAAGGGCAGGGGCCAUCUUUUGCUUUUUUUUUUUUUUUUUUUU
Long non-coding RNA from Sarcophilus harrisii (Tasmanian devil), 3700 nucleotides. RefSeq lists it as uncharacterized. NCBI's taxonomy places the organism in Eukaryota, Metazoa, Chordata, Mammalia, Dasyuromorphia, Dasyuridae. The transcript is spliced from 2 exons. The record is from RefSeq and is a predicted model, not a curated record.